Molecule: non-coding RNA, 68 nt
Filed under: Escherichia coli O127:H6 str. E2348/69
Lineage: Bacteria; Pseudomonadati; Pseudomonadota; Gammaproteobacteria; Enterobacterales; Enterobacteriaceae
Description: int-alpA RNA
Rfam family: int-alpA RNA
About the family: Acidobacteria (1 example), Planctomycetes (1 example), Proteobacteria.
Source: Rfam by way of RNAcentral
CUUGAGGCUAUUCCGACAGGGAGAAAAGCGAUCUACGCCUGACCGCCUGCCUCAGCAAUCAUCCAGGC